GUGGGGAAUCUUAGACAAUGGGGGAAACCCUGAUCUAGCCAUGCCGCGUGAUCGAUGAAGGCCUUAGGGUUGUAAAGAUCUUUCAGGUGGGAAGAUAAUGACUGUACCACCAGAAGAAGCCCCGGCUAACUCCGUGCCAGCAGCCGCGGUAAUACGGAGGGGGCUAGCGUUGUUCGGAAUUACUGGGCGUAAAGCGCGCGUAGGCGGACCAGAAAGUUGGAGGUGAAAUCCCAGGGCUCAACCUUGGAACUGCCUUCAAAACUCCUGGUCUGGAGUUCGAGAGAGGUGAGUGGAAUUCCGAGUGUAGAGGUGAAAUUCGUAGAUAUUCGGAGGAACACCAGUGGCGAAGGCGGCUCACUGGCUCGAUACUGACGCUGAGGUGCGAAAGCGUGGGGAGCAAACAGGAUUAGAAACCCUUGUAGUCC
Molecule: ribosomal RNA, 425 nt
Filed under: uncultured bacterium
Lineage: Bacteria
Description: partial 16S ribosomal RNA
Rfam family: Bacterial small subunit ribosomal RNA
Source: RNAcentral